UGUACAAACACUGGAACAUAAAUAAACCUGCAAGACGUAUGUUGUAAAAGAGCGUUGUCUUUUCUACAUACCAUGAUGUUAAUACUUCAGCCAGCCAUGCAGGGAAUCAUGAUCUUAGGAUUGCCUGCAUGUUCCAAAAAAGCAACAACUUAAAUCAGACAGACAUUCUUCUUCUAAACUGUUUUUCAACUAUUAAGGGCCCAAUCCAUAAGCCCUUGGAAAUCAAUGGGAAGUAUUCCAUGUGUUCAGUGGACUUGGCAUCAGGCCCUAAAAGUCAUCAGGGAGUCACCACAGGGAGUACCAGUGGACAAAGGAAUGAUUGUAGAAAGUACUAUGGUGCUAUUUUCUCUCCAAUUUCCUGGUCAAAGUCUAAAAUAAAAAUUGCAGAUUAGAAAAUCCUUUGAGAAUGGGGUUCAGCAAGUGAAACUGUUUGAAGCUGGUGUUGAUGACAGUUUUCCUGAUUUAGCAAAUAAUUUGCUUCUGCUAAUUGGUCUCUGGUCCAAGCCAUUUGGUUUUAACACUACAGUCAUCUCUUCAGGAUCAGGAAGUUGGAGGUAUGUUGCAGUUCAGGACUAGCUUAGCAUAAGUAAAGGAAAUUGUUUGACUAUAGUUCACUGUUAUAAAUAAAAUGUGUUAG
Molecule: long non-coding RNA, 637 nt
Filed under: Crocodylus porosus (Australian saltwater crocodile)
Lineage: Eukaryota; Metazoa; Chordata; Crocodylia; Crocodylidae
Description: lncRNA (ENSCPRG00005007620.1)
Source: RNAcentral